This 2665-nucleotide ribosomal RNA is filed under the name Gracilaria urvillei. RNAcentral's name for it is "large subunit ribosomal RNA". It matches the Rfam family "Bacterial large subunit ribosomal RNA". The record is from RNAcentral. Lineage: Eukaryota; Rhodophyta; Florideophyceae; Gracilariales; Gracilariaceae.
GGUUAAGAACUUGGUUAAGGGAUCUCAAAAUUUUUAUGUUAUGCACUUAAUAAAAACCUUGGUAGAAAAUAGUUGGACGUCUCGCUACGAAAAGUUAUAGGGAGGCAUUGGCUUGUGAUUUAUAAAUUUCCGUAUUAAAAGUAAACUUGAUAAAAUUUGUGAAAUAUAAUGUGAAUUGAAUCAUCUUAGUAACAUUAGUUAUUAAAUCAAUAGAGAAAUCGUAAAUAGUGGUGAACAAAAACGAUAUAAAAGCUUAAUAUGAGAGGUUCUUUAUUAUAAUUUACUACAAAAGGUUUAAGUCCUGUAAUAGUGAAAGUUCUUCUUAACAAAAAAAUUAUAAGUAGUAUGAAUUAAAACUUGUAUGAAUACAGAAGAACCACCUUCUAAGCUGACAAAAAUUUUUUAACCUAUAGUAAACGAGUACCGUGAGGGAAAGGUAAAGAUAUUUGAUAAAAAUAAUUUAAAUUGGGUGUUUCUAAGUUUUCGAAGUAUUAAAACAACGAAGUGCCUUUUGCAUAAUGAAUCAGCAAGUUAAUGUAUAUAGCAAGUUUAAUUAUUAAUGAGUAAACAUUUAAAGUAAUAUAUAUUAAGCCUGAAACCAAGUGAUCUAAUUGUAAGCAGGUUGAAAAAACUUUAAAAAGUUUUUGAGGACCGUACUCGUAUAUGUAGCAAAAUAUAGAGACGACUUGUAGUUAGGAGCGAAAGACUAAUCAAACUUGGAGAUAGCCGGUUUUUCACGAAAUGUAUUUCAGUACUACGUUGAUCACUUUAAUUCUUAAGUUAGAGUACAAAAUGAAUAAAGGGAUGUAAAAGUUUACUAAAUUUUUUUUAACUCCAAAUUAAAGCAUUAAAAAGAUCAGCAGUCAGUCUGUAAGCAAUAAGGUUUGCGGACAAAAGGAAAACAAUCCAGAGCGUAUAUUAAGAUUUUUAAAUUAUAACUUAGGGAAGAAAACUAAAAUAAGCUCAAAUAAAAAUUGGAUAGGCUUAGAAGCAGUCACUCAUUAGAGAAAGCGUUUUAGCUCAUUAUUUUUCUUUUUUUGGUUUAAAAUGUAUGAAAACUUUAAGUUUUAUAUCGAAAUAGCGUAUUAAUACAAUUUAAUGGUAGUGAAACGUUCUGUAAAAAUUUUUGAAUUGUAAAAUUAUGAGAAAUUUAACAGAAAUGCUAAUGCUGAUAUGAGUAGCGUUAAUUACGUUAAUAAAUCGUAAUCACUAAAUGUUUAAGGGUUUCAAUGUAAUUUUAAAUACAUUGAGUUAGUCGGUCCUUAAGAGGGGAAUUAAAAUUGUACUCGAUAGGAAAUUGAUAGUUGUAUUAAACUUUUUAUAUGUGUUAUUUUAUUAAAAAUAUGAAAAAAGUAGUUUCUGACAGUUUUAGAUAUAAAAAGGCGAAAAAUUGACUAAAACUACUUUCGAGAAAAAAUUAUAAAAAAUUAACCGUACUUAAACCGACACAGGUAAACUGAUUAAAAAAAUUAUAAGUGAAUGAAAGAAUUAUAUUGAAGGAACUCGGCAAAUUGACUCUGUAUGUUCGCUAUAAAGAGAGCCUUCUAAUGAAGAUGGUAGCAUAAAAUAAGAAGUAACGACUGGUUAUCAAAACCACAGGACUCUGCAAAUUUGAGAAAAACAGUAUAGAGUCUGACGCCUGCCCAGUGCUUAAGAAUAAAAAAAUGUGGUGUAAUGCUUGUUUAAAAAAUCUAAGUAAACGGCGGUUCUAACUAUAAGAAUCCUUAGGUAGCGAAAUUCCUUGGCGGGUAAAUUCCGUCCUGCAUGAAUGGCGUAACGAUUACUUCACUGUCUCCAAUAUAACUUCAGCGAAAUUACAUUAUCCAUGAAAAUGUGGAUUACUUGCAGUAAGACGGAAAGACCCUAGAUCCUUUACUUUAAUUUUAAAUUGUAAAAAUUUAUUUAAAUGUAUAGAGUAAGUGGAAAUAAACUUUUAUGUCCUUGAAACACCACUCAUUAAGUUUAAUUUUUACUCAAUUUACAAAUAAGAUUGUAGAGACCAUUUAAAAGAGAAAGUUUACUUGGGACGAGUACCUCCUAAAUAGUAACGGAGGUGUACGAAGGUAAGUGACAAUUAUUUAUUAAAAAUAAUGAAGAGUAUAAUGGCGUAAGCUUGCUUGACAAUUAAGAUAUAUAAAUCAAAUUGCGACGAAAGUCAGUCAUAAUGACCCGAUAUUUAAGCGUGGAAUUAAUAUCGUUCAACAGAUAAAAGGAACUCUAGGGAUAACAGAUUCAUCGUGAUUGAGAGUUCAUAUUAAUGUCACGGUUUGAUACCUCGAUGUCGACUCAUCUUAUCCUGGAAUUGAAGUAAAUUUCAAGGGUCUAGUUGUUCGCUAGUUAAAAAGGUACGUGAGUUGGGUUCAGAACGUCGUGAGACAGUUCGGUCCCUAUCUACUGUAAGAUAAAGAAAAAUAAAAAGUGUAUUCUUAGUACGAGAGGAUCAGGAUACUUUAACCUAUGGUUUAAUGAUUGUUAGAGCCAUUAGCAUAGUCAGGUAGCUAAGUUAGUUUUUAAUAAAUGUUGAAUGAAUCAAAUAUAUUAAAUAUACUUAAAAUAUUUUUCACGAAUAAUCUAAAAGACGAUUAGAAAGAUCGGUUUGAAAAAAUAGUUUAGCAAUAAAUACGUUAUAAAAUGUUACAAAUCCGAAUUAUUCAAAAAAAUUGAU